CAGGGAGACAACAAAAUGUUUAAUAUUAUUAUUUUGUCACCUUAGGUCGAUCGGUACCUCACGUUUUUAAUUUAUUAAGAAUUUCAUUUCCUAAGUUUUUCUAGGUCACACCCAUUAUUUUUCCUGGGCCAUUAGCUCAGGUGGUUAGAGCGCACCCCUGAUAAGGGUGAGGUCCCUGGUUCAAGUCCAGGAUGGCCCAUAUCUCUAUGUUGGGGGUAUAGCUCAGUUGGUAGAGCGCCUGCUUUGCAAGCAGGAUGUCAGCGGUUCGAGUCCGCUUACCUCCACUGAUCACCACCUCUUCCAUAAUCGGUAGAAAGGAAAUUUUUUGAGUUGUGAUCAAAUUCUGAAAGAAUCUAGCUUCCUAAUGAAAUCAUUAAGAUGCUGGACUCAAUGAAUUAAUUUCAUUGUUUUCAGAGAACCUUGACAACUGCAUAGAUUAUUUUUAAAGACAAUAAGCAUCUUUAAUGAUGCAGAUUUAUUAUUUGUGCAAAUGCAUUAAUAACAAUUCUAUUAAGCUGAUGCUUCAAUAUUUGAAGUUAUU
This 541-nucleotide transfer RNA is filed under the name uncultured Prochlorococcus sp. RNAcentral's name for it is "partial 16S-23S ribosomal RNA intergenic spacer". The stretch from base 212 to 284 matches the Rfam family "tRNA". The record is from RNAcentral. Lineage: Bacteria; Bacillati; Cyanobacteriota; Cyanophyceae; Synechococcales; Prochlorococcaceae.